This is a non-coding RNA of Musa acuminata subsp. malaccensis (wild Malaysian banana), 599 nucleotides long. NCBI's taxonomy places the organism in Eukaryota, Viridiplantae, Streptophyta, Magnoliopsida, Zingiberales, Musaceae. The record is from RefSeq and is a predicted model, not a curated record.
AAGAUUUAAAGUAAAUCAAGAAAGACGCGAAGGGUUCAUCCAUAUUGAGGUUGAUUUCAGCGAACCCAACAAGAAUCUGAUUUUCCAGUCAAAAACAUACAAAUGACAUGCAGUUGCCUGUAAUUUUGAAGCUUUCAGGAGCUGGCUGCCUGUUGAACUUAUCUAGAGGACUCGACACCAUAAAAGAUUUUGAGGUCCUUGGUGGUCUCAUGCCAAAUAUAUAUUGUCAGAGCAAAUCUUGCAAAAAAGGCUCCUGAUGUUAAUUUCAGCCACUGGAAGCCUCUUUUCCAUAGACUCUGGCUGCUGUUGCUGUUGCUGUAUCUGCUGCUGGUGACACUUAGUCGAUGAAGUUAUGCCCUCACAACCGCAGAAGUCGUAAACAACUCAUAAGUGGAUAAGGGAAGGGCUCUUAGGUAGCAUGGACCACAGGUCAUGCAUACAUCUGCAGAUUCUUACAGAAAGAUUCUUGGGUAAGCAUGACUCUUGGACAUGAUGAGGAUUAAUAAUUGGACAUGCUUGCGUCGGCCCUCAAUUGCACUUGAGCUACUUAGCAUAAGGUUUGUCUUAAAGCCAUUCUUUAUCAGCAAAUGUAGAGUUGA